ACUCCCCCACGUUUUCUGGGUGGGCGGGGGGGGGGCGAAAAUGCAGUCGACGAGUUCUCGUUGAUGAUCGGUGCUUGCACCGAGAUUCAACAUGGAACGAGUGGCGGACGGGUGAGUAACACGUGGGUAACCUGCCCUUAAGUGGGGGAUAACAUUUGGAAACAGAUGCUAAUACCGCAUAGAUCCAAGAACCGSAUGGUUCUUGGCUGAAAGAUGGCGUAAGCUWUSGCUUUUGGAUGGACCCGCGGCGUAUUAGCCUAGUUGGUGAGGUAAUGGCUCACCAAGGCGAUGAUACGUAGCCGAACUGAGAGGUUGAUCGGCCACAUUGGGACUGAGACACGGCCCAAACUCCGUACSGGAGGCAGCAGUAGGGAAUCUUCCACAAUGGACGCGGAAGUCUGAUGGAGCAACGCCGCGUGAGGUGAAUGAAGGCUUUCCCGGGUCGUAAAACUCUGUUCCCGUUGGAGAAUGAAUGGUCGGCAGAGUCGAACUGUUGUCGGCGUGAUCGGUAUUCCAACCACGAAAGCCACGGCUAACUACGUGCCAAGCAGCCGCGGCCCCCUAAUACGUAGGUGGCAAGCGUUAUCCGGAUUUAUUGGGCGUAAAGCGAGCGCAGGCGGUUUUUUAAGUCUGAUGUGAAAGCCCUCGGCUUAACCGAGGAAGCGCAUCGGAAACUGGGAAACUUGAGUGCAGAAGAGGACAGUGGAACUCCAUGUGUAGCGGGUGAAAUGCGUAGAUAUAUGGAAGAACACCAGUGGCGAAAGCGGCUGUCUGGUCUGUAACUGACGCUGAGGCUCGAAAGCAUGGGGUAGCGGACAGGAUUAGAUACCCUGGUAGUCCAUGCCGUAAACGAUGAAUGCUAGGUGUUGGAGGGUUUCCGGCCCUUCCAGUGCCGCAGCUAACGCAUUCAGCAUUCCGGCUGGGGGGAGUACGACCGCAAGGUAUGAAACUCACAGGAUUGACGGGUGGCCCGCCACAAGCAGGUGGAAGCAUGUGGCUUUCAUCGAAGCAACGCGAAAGAACCUACCCAGGUCUGACGUCUUUUUGAUUCAGCGU
This 1056-nucleotide ribosomal RNA is filed under the name Lacticaseibacillus paracasei. RNAcentral's name for it is "bacterial SSU rRNA". It matches the Rfam family "Bacterial small subunit ribosomal RNA", at positions 1 to 1003 of the family's 1533-position model. Lineage: Bacteria; Bacillati; Bacillota; Bacilli; Lactobacillales; Lactobacillaceae. The record is from RNAcentral.